This 1416-nucleotide ribosomal RNA is filed under the name Acinetobacter sp. SwsAc7. RNAcentral's name for it is "partial 23S ribosomal RNA". It matches the Rfam family "Bacterial large subunit ribosomal RNA", at positions 1552 to 2925 of the family's 2925-position model. Lineage: Bacteria; Pseudomonadati; Pseudomonadota; Gammaproteobacteria; Moraxellales; Moraxellaceae. The record is from RNAcentral.
UAUGCUGAGAACUGAUAGCAAGCUGUACUUGUACAGUGAAGUGGCUGAUACCAUGCUUCCAGGAAAAGUCUCUAAGCUUCAGUUACAUAGGAAUCGUACCCGAAACCGACACAGGUGGUCAGGUCGAGUAGACCAAAGCGCUUGAGAGAACUCUGCUGAAGGAACUAGGCAAAAUGGUACCGUAACUUCGGGAGAAGGUACGCUGCCGACGGUGAUAGGAUUUACUCCUUGAGCUAUUGGCAGCCACAGAAACCAGGCCCCUGCAACUGUUUAUUAAAAACAUAGCACUCUGCAAACACGAAAGUGGACGUAUAGGGUGUGAUGCCUGCCCGGUGCUGGAAGGUUAAUUGAUGGGGUUAGCGUAAGCGAAGCUCUUGAUCGAAGCCCCAGUAAACGGCGGCCGUAACUAUAACGGUCCUAAGGUAGCGAAAUUCCUUGUCGGGUAAGUUCCGACCUGCACGAAUGGCAUAAUGAUGGGGGCGCUGUCUCCAGCAGAGACUCAGUGAAAUCGAAUUCGCCGUGAAGAUGCGGUGUACCCGCGGCUAGACGGAAAGACCCCGUGAACCUUUACUGCAGCUUGACAUUGAACUUUGAUCUUACUUGUGUAGGAUAGGUGGGAGGCUUUGAAACCGAGACGCUAGUUUCGGUGGAGCCAAUCUUGAAAUACCACCCUGGUAAUAUUGAGGUUCUAACUCUGUCCCGUUAUCCGGGACGAGGACCAUGUCUGGUGGGUAGUUUGACUGGGGCGGUCUCCUCCUAAAGAGUAACGGAGGAGUACGAAGGUGCGCUCAGCGUGGUCGGAAAUCACGCGUAGAGUAUAAAGGCAAAAGCGCGCUUAACUGCGAGACCCACAAGUCGAGCAGGUACGAAAGUAGGUCUUAGUGAUCCGGUGGUUCUGUAUGGAAGGGCCAUCGCUCAACGGAUAAAAGGUACUCUGGGGAUAACAGGCUGAUACCGCCCAAGAGUUCAUAUCGACGGCGGUGUUUGGCACCUCGAUGUCGGCUCAUCUCAUCCUGGGGCUGAAGCAGGUCCCAAGGGUAUGGCUGUUCGCCAUUUAAAGAGGUACGCGAGCUGGGUUUAGAACGUCGUGAGACAGUUCGGUCCCUAUCUACCGUGGGCGUUGGAAAUUUGAGAGGAUCUGCUCCUAGUACGAGAGGACCAGAGUGGACGAACCUCUGGUGUACCGGUUGUGACGCCAGUCGCAUCGCCGGGUAGCUAUGUUCGGAAGGGAUAACCGCUGAAAGCAUCUAAGCGGGAAGCCUACCUCAAGAUAAGAUUUCCCUAGGACUUUAUGUCCUCUAAAGAGCCGUUGAAGACUACGACGUUGAUAGGUUGGAUGUGGAAGCAUAGUGAUAUGUGAAGCUGACCAAUACUAAUUGCUCGUGAGGCUUGACUAUACAACACCCAAACAGUUGG